Long non-coding RNA from Myotis myotis, 753 nucleotides. RefSeq lists it as uncharacterized. The transcript has 3 exons. The record is from RefSeq and is a predicted model, not a curated record. Lineage: Eukaryota; Metazoa; Chordata; Mammalia; Chiroptera; Vespertilionidae.
GCAGGGGGAAGCCUGGCUCCCGGGCUGAGUCAGGACACUCCUGCGGGAACCCGACACUUCCCACCGGGUCCACCUCCGCAGUUUCACAGGCUGCGGGGCAGGAAGCCCCCUCCCCGGAUGUCAACCCCCGGGAAAAUGGAGCAUCUCCCUCAUGCCAAGGAGCCAGAGACGGAGAGGCGCCUUUCGUUUCCCCUUCUCCAGUCCUUAAUUCCAAGCCUUACGGUGGAGUUUCAGGCAUCCUCAGCGUAAAGCAGGAAAAGCCAGAAGACCAAGGAAGAGGAAAAGAGAAAAUUUCCCCUCCCCCACCCACUGAAGCAAAGAUUUGAAGGAAGAGUUCCAGCCAAACAGGCACCAAUCUGAAAGAAAAGUGUCCCAAGAAAAGGGAACUGCAAGUGCAAAGGCCCUGGGGUGGUAACAUGCUUUGGGUAUGCUUUGUCCCCCUCCUUUGAGCACAGAGCUGUCCAACUCCUUAUCGUUGUACCUUGCUCUCCUACUUCAGCUCCCUCCUCCUCUGCACCACCCUUCUGCCCAGCCCCCAUGGGUCUGUCAAACUCCCGCCUGCAUGCCCAGAUUCAAAUGUUAUUUCUUACAGCUUGUCCUUAUUGCCCCUCACCUAUGUUCUCACAAUGUUCAUAUUUCUAUUAUGAUAAUCAUCACAUUGUAAUAUGAUUUUUUUAAAUCUGUUUUGGCCUGGCUGGUGUGGCUCAAUGGUUGGGCAUCAACCUAUGAACCAGGAGGUCACGGUUCAAUUUC